GACGUAGGGGGCCAGCGUUGUUCGGAAUUACUGGGCGUAAAGGGUUCGUAGGUGGCUCGCUAAGUCAGACGUGAAAUCCCUCAGCUUAACUGGGGAACCGCGUCUGAGACUGAUGAGCUCGAGUGCAGGAGAGGAACGCGGAAUUCCAGGUGUAGCGGUGAAAUGCGUAGAUAUCUGGAGGAACACCGGUGGCGAAGGCGGCGUUCUGGACUGCAACUGACACUGAGGAACGAAAGCCAGGGGAGCAAACAGG
RNAcentral lists this ribosomal RNA (253 nucleotides) under uncultured prokaryote. RNAcentral's name for it is "partial 16S ribosomal RNA". It matches the Rfam family "Bacterial small subunit ribosomal RNA", at positions 524 to 776 of the family's 1533-position model. The record is from RNAcentral.